This 252-nucleotide ribosomal RNA is filed under the name uncultured bacterium. RNAcentral's name for it is "partial 16S ribosomal RNA". It matches the Rfam family "Bacterial small subunit ribosomal RNA", at positions 524 to 776 of the family's 1533-position model. The record is from RNAcentral.
UACGGAGGAUGCGAGCGUUAUCCGGAUUUAUUGGGUUUAAAGGGUGCGUAGGCGGACUGUCGAGUCAGCGGUAAAAUUGAGAGGCUCAACCUCUUCCCGCCGUUGAAACUGGUGGUCUUGAGUGGAUGAGAAGUACGCGGAAUGCGUGGUGUAGCGGUGAAAUGCAUAGAUAUCACGCAGAACUCCGAUUGCGAAGGCAGCGUACCGGCAUCCAACUGACGCUGAGGCACGAAAGCGUGGGGAUCAAACAGG